Molecule: transfer RNA, 61 nt
Filed under: Dracunculus medinensis (Guinea worm)
Lineage: Eukaryota; Metazoa; Nematoda; Chromadorea; Rhabditida; Dracunculidae
Description: tRNA-Ile
Source: RNAcentral
CCUAUAAGUAUGUCUUAUGACAUACUUAUUAAAUAAAUAAACACACAAUUCCUUUGUGUGU